UUAAAGUCUAACCUGCCCACUGAAAAUUUAAAUGGCCGCAGUAUUCUAACUGUGCAAAGGUAGCAUAAUCAUUAGUCUUUUAAUUGAAGGCUGGAAUGAAUGGUUGGACGAAAUAUUAACUGUUUCAUUUAAAUUUUUUAUAGAAUUUUAUUUUUUAGUCAAAAAGCUAAAAUAAAUUUAAAAGACGAGAAGACCCUAUAAAUCUUUAUAUUUUAUUUAUUUUAAUUAUAAAGAUUAUUUUUGUUAUAAUAAAUAAAAAUAUUUUAUUGGGGUGAUAUUAAAAUUUAAAAAACUUUUAAUUUUAAAAUCCAUUAAUUUAUGAAUAAUUGAUCCAUUAAUAAUGAUUAAAAAUUUAAGUUACUUUAGGGAUAACAGCGUAAUUUUUUUGGAGAGUUCAUAUCGAUAAAAAAGAUUGCGACCUCGAUGUUGGAUUAAGAUAUAAUUUUGGGUGUAGCCGUUCAAAUUUUAAGUCUGUUCGACUUUUAAAUUCUUACAUGAUCUGAGUUCAAACCGGCGUAAGCCAGGUUGGUUUCUAUCUUUAAAAAAUUGUAAUAUUUUAGUACGAAAGGACCAAAUAUUAAAAUAAUUAUAUUUUUAAUAAGAAUAUUAUUAAUACAG
RNAcentral lists this ribosomal RNA (618 nucleotides) under Drosophila melanoloma. Its description in RNAcentral is "partial 16S ribosomal RNA". It matches the Rfam family "Bacterial large subunit ribosomal RNA", at positions 1845 to 2761 of the family's 2925-position model. The record is from RNAcentral. Lineage: Eukaryota; Metazoa; Arthropoda; Insecta; Diptera; Drosophilidae.